AGUGAACGCUGGCGGUAGGCCUAACACAUGCAAGUCGAACGGCAGCACAGUAAGAGCUUGCUCUUACGGGUGGCGAGUGGCGGACGGGUGAGGAAUACAUCGGAAUCUACUUUUUCGUGGGGGAUAACGUAGGGAAACUUACGCUAAUACCGCAUACGACCUACGGGUGAAAGCAGGGGAUCUUCGGACCUUGCGCGAUUGAAUGAGCCGAUGUCGGAUUAGCUAGUUGGCGGGGUAAAGGCCCACCAAGGCGACGAUCCGUAGCUGGUCUGAGAGGAUGAUCAGCCACACUGGAACUGAGACACGGUCCAGACUCCUACGGGAGGCAGCAGUGGGGAAUAUUGGACAAUGGGCGCAAGCCUGAUCCAGCCAUACCGCGUGGGUGAAGAAGGCCUUUGGGUUGUAAAGCCCUUUUGUUGGGAAAGAAAAGCAGCAGGUUAAUACCCCGCUGUCCUGACGGUACCCAAAGAAUAAGCACCGGCUAACUUCGUG
This 492-nucleotide ribosomal RNA is filed under the name uncultured bacterium. RNAcentral describes it as "partial 16S ribosomal RNA". It matches the Rfam family "Bacterial small subunit ribosomal RNA", at positions 29 to 507 of the family's 1533-position model. The record is from RNAcentral.